UUUUAGCCCCGAUGGGAGGGAAAAUCCUUUUUUUAAAACAUCCCUUCUCAAUUAGUAUUUAUGUUGGGGAUGUUUUAAAAAAAGAUUGGAAGGACAGCGGGACUUUGC
Molecule: small RNA, 108 nt
Filed under: Flavobacterium sp. 9R
Lineage: Bacteria; Pseudomonadati; Bacteroidota; Flavobacteriia; Flavobacteriales; Flavobacteriaceae
Description: Flavo-1
Rfam family: Flavo-1 RNA
Source: RNAcentral